CUUCCUCCAGUAUGGCCACAC
RNAcentral lists this unclassified non-coding RNA (21 nucleotides) under Mus musculus (house mouse). RNAcentral describes it as "oocyte_clustered_small_RNA6971". The record is from RNAcentral. Lineage: Eukaryota; Metazoa; Chordata; Mammalia; Rodentia; Muridae.